GUGGGGAAUAUUGGACAAUGGGCGAAAGCCUGAUCCAGCAAUGCCGCGUGAGUGAUGAAGGCCUUAGGGUUGUAAAGCUCUUUUACCAGGGAUGAUAAUGACAGUACCUGGAGAAUAAGCUCCGGCUAACUCCGUGCCAGCAGCCGCGGUAAUACGGAGGGAGCUAGCGUUGUUCGGAAUUACUGGGCGUAAAGCGCACGUAGGCGGCUACUCAAGUCAGAGGUGAAAGCCCGGGGCUCAACCCCGGAACUGCCUUUGAAACUAGGUAGCUAGAAUCUUGGAGAGGUCAGUGGAAUUCCGGGUGUAGAGGUGAAAUUCGUAGAUAUUCGGAAGAACACCAGUGGCGAAGGCGACUGACUGGACAAGUAUUGACGCUGAGGUGCGAAAGCGUGGGGAGCAAACAGGAUUAGAUACCCGAGUAGUCC
RNAcentral lists this ribosomal RNA (425 nucleotides) under uncultured bacterium. Its description in RNAcentral is "partial 16S ribosomal RNA". It matches the Rfam family "Bacterial small subunit ribosomal RNA", at positions 354 to 796 of the family's 1533-position model. The record is from RNAcentral.